GACAGAAGAUCCCCAUACUUCCUUCCAUUGUAGGUGCCCUACUCUCUAAAUCUAGAAAAAAAAAUGCUUCCUAUCUUUUCCCUGAGGAUUUCCAAGAGAAAGCAAAUGAUAGGCAGCAGCCUUUGGUAUUUUCCAGCAUCUCCUUGCAACAGGAAGAUCUUCUUAUUAUCUAACCCAGAUCUGCAAAGUUGAACCAGUUCCUUCUUAUUCAAAUUUUGAAUGUUGGUAGACAUUAAAAUUAAGCACCUCUGUGCUUUUAUAAAGAGAAAAACUAUAUUUGACUUUAGAUGGGAAGUAACUUAACAAGUCUCUUAGCCUUUUCUGGGACUGAGCUGAAUAUUGUGACUUGAUUCAUUAACUACCAUAAAGACUGUUUUUCAUGAUUGCAGCAGAAUACAACAGACACUAGUAUGGCAAUAUGUAAAUCAAUGGAUGUGUAACUGAUGUGAUUCUGCAAUCUGUAUACGGGGUAAAAAUGGGAGUUCAUAACCCACUUGAAUCAAAGUGUGAAAUAUGAUAUAUCAAGAACUAUGUAAUGUUUUGAACAACCAACAAUAAAAAUUUAAAAAAAAAAAAGAGCCCUCAUUUGAAGUGGGCAUGAUGGCACAUACCUAUAACUCCAGCUAUUCAGAAGCUAAGGCAAUACAUAUGUGCGCUUGCACAUGUGCACAUAUGUGUACACACACACACACACACUCACACAAGCAAUGACUUGUCUCAUUCUGUCCCAAUUUUCUCUUUUGUCCUCCCUGUUGCUGGAUCGGCCCUCUCUGACUUGGUGGGAUCAACCACAGGCGUAGCUCAACUGUGAGGAAACAGGUAAGAGCCCCGCAGAGGCCAGGCUGGCCUGGCAUGACAAUUGAGUAUAUCCCACAGGCAAUUGUGAAGCUCCAUGUGGACAGGACAGACACUUCUCUGACUUUAUGCC
RNAcentral lists this long non-coding RNA (928 nucleotides) under Marmota monax (woodchuck). The record is from RNAcentral. Lineage: Eukaryota; Metazoa; Chordata; Mammalia; Rodentia; Sciuridae.